This 214-nucleotide ribosomal RNA is filed under the name uncultured bacterium. Its description in RNAcentral is "partial 16S ribosomal RNA". It matches the Rfam family "Bacterial small subunit ribosomal RNA", at positions 1286 to 1500 of the family's 1533-position model. The record is from RNAcentral.
UCCCAGUUCGAAUUGAAGGCUGAAAUUCGCCUUCAUGAAGUCGGAAUUGCUAGUAAUGGCAGGUCAGCAUACUGCCGUGAAUACGUUCCCGGGCCUUGUACACACCGCCCGUCACACCAUGAGAGUUGGAGAUACCCGAAGCCUGUGAGCUAACUUUUAGAGGCAGCAGUCGAAGGUAGAAUCAAUGAUUGGGGUGAAGUCGUAACAAGGUAUC